GUCCACGCAGCCCCCAUUCCCGGCCAAGUGUCUGCUACGCUCCACCAUGGGCCCCCGCUUGCUUCUCCCACUCAGGGCGCCCGUCACACCUCCAGUCAUUUUCCGCUUCUUCAGAUCUGGAACUCGUGCUCCGGGAGGGCGGGGGCGGCACUGUCGGCUGACGGGGCCGCGCACACAGCACGGUGCCUGUGCCCGGGAGAUGCUCGACAGACAUCUGUGACUAAUGACUGAAGCGACGGGAGCACUGGACGCAGUCACCCACUGAGGCAGAGAACUCUGCUACCGCUGAACACGACCCGCAUUCAGCAUCCCUGCCGGAGGCGUACGUGUGGCCACGCACGGGAGCUCAGCAGACGCUGCGGUUUCGUGGAAGGCACAGCGGCUGGAUCACCACCACCACCUCUUGAACUAUGUUCUGAAUCAGUCUGCCAGAGCUGCUUAUCUCGGAAAUCUCUUACAUCGAUGAGUUAUUGAAUCAAGCCAGGCCAGUCUAGGAGAGCUGCAAAUCCGCUCAGGUGAUGCCUUUGUUUCAGGCAGCAAAUUUCACUGGAAUUAUGAUCACAAUUAAUAACCGUCUCUCCUGAGAGGGCACGAGGAAUGGAAUCUGCCUUCACCAAUAAUGUUGUCGCCUCUCCGGUUUGGGCAAGACAGAGCUUCUCAUCUUCCCCUCACGGCUCAUCUGGUUUUGCCCGAGCUGCUUGCGCGACCACGCUCUGAAGAGAGAGACAUGUUAUCCAUGGUGGAUGUUAAUGCACUUAACACUAGGUUAUUUACAACAAGCUGGAAACCUUACACACCCUACCCGCCAUACAGGAUAAUCACUCUGCACUGAACAACACAAUUAAAACAGGAAGUAUUUGAAGAACA
Hyaena hyaena (striped hyena) is the source of this 867-nucleotide long non-coding RNA. RefSeq lists it as uncharacterized. The transcript is spliced from 2 exons. The record is from RefSeq and is a predicted model, not a curated record. Lineage: Eukaryota; Metazoa; Chordata; Mammalia; Carnivora; Hyaenidae.